CGACCCUACCGGCACAAGCCAGAGCACAAGAAGGAGAUCGAUGCUCAGGUAGAGGAGCUUCUCCGCAAAGGCAUUAUCCAGAAGAGCAGCAGUCCCUUCUGUUCACCAGCCAUUCUCGUCAAGAAGAAGGACGGAACUUGGAGGCUCUGUAUCGACUACAGACACCUCAAUGCCAUCACUUACAUCGCCAAGUAUCCCGUGCCUAUCAUUGAAGAGUUGUUGGACGAGCUGUACGGUGCGGCCUGGUUCUCCAAACUUGAUUUGCGAUUGGGAUAUCACCAGAUCCGCUUGGCAGAAGGGGAAGAAUACAAGACCGCGUUCCAGACACAUUCAGGCCAUUACGAGUUCUUGGUGGUUUCCUUCGGACUAGCGGGUGGACCGGCCACAUUCAACGGAGCUCUGACAACCACUCUGAAACCAGUCGAUCGCAAGUGUGUGCUCCUCUUCUUCGACGACAUCCUCGUGUUCAGCAAGACUCUGGGAGACCAUGUCAAUCAUCUGAGACAAGUGCUGCAGCUGCUGCACCGGGAUCAAUGGCACGUCAAGAUGUCCAAAUGUGAGUUCGGUCAGCACAGCCUAUCGUACCUGGGACAUGUCAUCAGCGAUCAGGGAGUGUCCACAGAACCAACCAAGAUACAGGCAGUAUCCAACUGGACGACACCAACUGACGCCAAGGCAGUCCGUAGCUUCUUGGGACUGGCGGGAUACUAUCGAAGAUUCGUCAAGAAUUUUGGAGUCAUAGCCCGGCCGCUGUUCAACCUUCUAAAAAAAGGAGCACCAUUCGUUUGGACACCAGCCACAGAUACAACAUUCCAGCUCCUCAAGCAGCAUCUGAUCGAAGCACCAGUGCUGGCACUCCCCAACUUCGCCAAGCCAUUUGUGAUCGAGACCGACGCGUGCGACAAGGGGAUCGGAGCGAUACUGCAGCAAGAUGGCCACCCGAUCGCUUAUAUGAGCAAAGCCUUGAGCCCUCGAUACCAGGGACUCUGA
Molecule: ribosomal RNA, 990 nt
Filed under: Triticum aestivum (bread wheat)
Lineage: Eukaryota; Viridiplantae; Streptophyta; Magnoliopsida; Poales; Poaceae
Description: partial small subunit ribosomal RNA
Source: RNAcentral